This 460-nucleotide ribosomal RNA is filed under the name uncultured bacterium. Its description in RNAcentral is "partial 16S ribosomal RNA". It matches the Rfam family "Bacterial small subunit ribosomal RNA", at positions 338 to 795 of the family's 1533-position model. The record is from RNAcentral.
CCUACGGGAGGCAGCAGUGAGGAAUAUUGGUCAAUGGACGAGAGUCUGAACCAGCCAAGUAGCGUGAAGGAUGACUGCCCUAUGGGUUGUAAACUUCUUUUAUAUGGGAAUAAAAUGGUGCACGUGUGGGUUUUUGUAUGUACCAUAUGAAUAAGGAUCGGCUAACUCCGUGCCAGCAGCCUCGGGAAUACGGAGGAUCCGAGCGUUAUCCGGAUUUAUUGGGUUUAAAGGGAGCGUAGGUGGGUUGUUAAGUCAGUUGUGAAAGUUUGCGGCUCAACCGUAAAAUUGCAGUUGAUACUGGCAGUCUUGAGUACAGUAGAGGUAGGCGGAAUUCGUGGUGUAGCGGUGAAAUGCUUAGAUAUCACGAAGAACUCCGAUUGCGAAGGCAGCUCACUGGACUGCAACUGACACUGAGGCUCGAAAGUGUGGGUAUCAAACAGGAUUAGAUACCCUUGUAGUC